Molecule: unclassified non-coding RNA, 348 nt
Filed under: soil metagenome
Description: partial contains 5.8S ribosomal RNA, internal transcribed spacer 2, and large subunit ribosomal RNA
Rfam family: 5.8S ribosomal RNA (bases 1-120)
Source: RNAcentral
GAUGAAGAACGUAGCGAAAUGCGAUAAGUAAUGUGAAUUGCAGAACUCAGUGAAUCAUCGAAUCUUUGAACGCACAUUGCGCCCGCCAGUAUUCUGGCGGGCAUGCCUGUCUGAGCGUCAUUUCAACCCUCAUGCCCCUAGGGCGUGGUGUUGGGGAUCGGCCAAAGCCCGCGAGGGACGGCCGGCCCCUAAAUCUAGUGGCGGACCCGUCGUGGCCUCCUCUGCGAAGUAGUGAUAUUCCGCAUCGGAGAGCGACGAGCCCCUGCCGUUAAACCCCCAACUUUCCAAGGUUGACCUCAGAUCAGGUAGGAAUACCCGCUGAACUUAAGCAUAUCAAUAAGCGGAGGA